UACGAAGGGUGCAAACGUUGCUCGGAAUCACUGGGCGUAAAGCGCACGUAGGCGGCUUUUUAAGUCAGAGGUGAAAUCCUGGAGCUCAACUCCAGAACUGCCUUUGAUACUGGAGAGCUUGAGUCCGGGAGAGGUGAGUGGAACUGCGAGUGUAGAGGUGAAAUUCGUAGAUAUUCGCAAGAACACCAGUGGCGAAGGCGGCUCACUGGCCCGGUACUGACGCUGAGGUGCGAAAGCGUGGGGAGCAAACAGG
RNAcentral lists this ribosomal RNA (253 nucleotides) under uncultured bacterium. Its description in RNAcentral is "partial 16S ribosomal RNA". It matches the Rfam family "Bacterial small subunit ribosomal RNA", at positions 524 to 776 of the family's 1533-position model. The record is from RNAcentral.